Molecule: ribosomal RNA, 253 nt
Filed under: uncultured bacterium
Lineage: Bacteria
Description: partial 16S ribosomal RNA
Rfam family: Bacterial small subunit ribosomal RNA
Source: RNAcentral
UACGUAGGUGGCGAGCGUUGUCCGGAUUUACUGGGCGUAAAGAGCGCGCAGGCGGCUGGUCAAGUCCGAUGUGAAAGCUCCCGGCUUAACUGGGAAAUUGCAUCGGAAACUGAUCGGCUGGAAGGUGGGAGAGGGUAGCGGAAUUCCCGGUGUAGUGGUGAAAUGCGUAGAGAUCGGGAGGAAGGCCGGUGGCGAAGGCGGCGCUCUGGAACGUACCUGACGCUGAGACACGAAAGCGUGGGGAGCAAACAGG